RNAcentral lists this ribosomal RNA (303 nucleotides) under uncultured Fusobacterium sp. RNAcentral's name for it is "bacterial SSU rRNA". It matches the Rfam family "Bacterial small subunit ribosomal RNA", at positions 1212 to 1513 of the family's 1533-position model. The record is from RNAcentral. Lineage: Bacteria; Fusobacteriati; Fusobacteriota; Fusobacteriia; Fusobacteriales; Fusobacteriaceae.
GGCUACACACGUGCUACAAUGGGUAGAACAGAGAGUUGCAAAGCUGUGAAGUGGAGCUAAUCUCAGAAAACUAUUCUUAGUUCGGAUUGUACUCUGCCACUCGAGUACAUGAAGUUGGAAUCGCUAGUAAUCGCGAAUCAGCAAUGUCGCGGUGAAUACGUUCUCGGGUCUUGUACACACCGCCCGUCACACCACGAGAGUUGGUUGCACCUGAAGUAGCAGGCCUAACCGUAAGGAGGGAUGCUCCGAGGGUGUGAUUAGCGAUUGGGGUGAAGUCGUAACAAGGUAUCCGUACGGGAACGU